CAGGUCCUUCCCACAAUAAAAGUGGAGGCCCAGCUGGCGACCCGCAGGAAGGCCUCGUCUAUGGUGGAUUCUGAUUGGCUAGACUGAGAUCAGGUUUCACAGUCAUGUUUAGAAGUCCAGGAAACUUUGCUCCUGUGAUAUAUUCCGUAUGCUACAACAUUCCCAGUGGAACCGAACAACUAAAAAGAACACCCAUGUGCUUGGAG
RNAcentral lists this long non-coding RNA (206 nucleotides) under Capra hircus (goat). Its description in RNAcentral is "lncRNA (ENSCHIG00010009036.1)". Lineage: Eukaryota; Metazoa; Chordata; Mammalia; Artiodactyla; Bovidae. The record is from RNAcentral.